GCGCCCGUAGCUCAACUGGAUAGAGCAUCAGACUACGAAUCUGGCGGUUAGGAGUUCGAAUCUCUUCGGGCGCGCCA
This 77-nucleotide transfer RNA is filed under the name Alphaproteobacteria bacterium. Its description in RNAcentral is "tRNA-Arg". It matches the Rfam family "tRNA". Rfam says of the family: Transfer RNA (tRNA) molecules are approximately 80 nucleotides in length. Their secondary structure includes four short double-helical elements and three loops (D, anti-codon, and T loops). The record is from RNAcentral. Lineage: Bacteria; Pseudomonadati; Pseudomonadota; Alphaproteobacteria.